CCUGAUGCACUUAAAGCUAAAGUUGCAGAGGCAAUGGAUGUGCUGAGGAGUGUAGCUCAGCAGCAGCAAGCUGGUGGUGCAGCUGAUCAGUUAGCGUCUCUGUCUCUUGGAGACAACAUCGUACCUUGAGUUAUAAGUGCUUUGUUUGUCCUUGUGGAGAAUCAGAUACAAAGAGUGGUUCUUGAAAGUUUUGGAUUACAAUGUGUUUUUUUUUGUUUUGGAUUUCAGCUAAUCUUUAAUACUUUGGGAAGUUUUGGAUCAUUUACCCAUUCCAUAGAUCUUGGUUUGCUUUUAUCUAUUUAAGAUUCAUAAAACGUUUGGUUUAAUGCGUUUGAUGAUCUUAGUCACAAAAUGCACCAAAACUAGCGCAUUGCUGAGUUCAUAUUAAUUAGUUCAUUUAGUUCUAAUUGCAUACACAAAACAAUAUUUCAUCCAAAUUGUGUUUUUUUUCUUUGUUUCUAUAUUGACACCAAAGGCACUAUGGAAAUUAGAUUGUAUGCCUAACAAAAAAAUUAUAAAAAUCUAACAGUUUUACCUAAUUAGCUAGAGUAUACGAUAUAUUUUAUGUGUAAAUGUUAUUUUGCCUUUAUAAUCAUGAAUCAACCAACAAUCUGGUAAGAAAUACAUAAUAAAAUAAUUAUUAAAUAAUUGUAAUUAGUAUAUCAUGUCUCAUCCAGCAAUCUGGCCUUUGUUUAAGUGUCUUAAGUUCAUAAACUAAUAACGCAAGAUUUUAUUAUAGUUUUGAAAAGUCUCAAUUGAAUAAGACUAGAAUAAUUAUAAAAUCUAAAUCUAUAUAACUCUUUAAAUACACAAUCUAAAAACUUUAUUACAUUUUGAAUGUGACAGGUGAUGCGUGACCCUACUGGAGUGAGUAGAGGAUCUGGAUUUGUGGCAUUCUCAACUCCUGAGGAAGCAUCUAGAGCUGUAAGUGACUACCAUAUAAAGAAGACAUGUGAAUUUUAAAGCGAUCUCAAUGUUUAACUUGUCCUUGGGUUCAGAUUGCUGAGAUGAAUGGUAAAAUGAUUGUCUCAAAGCCUCUAUAUGUCGCUCUUGCACAGAGGAAAGAAGACCGCAAAGCUAGGUUACAGGUCUGUUUAUGUUUUUAACCUUAAAACAAGAGUUGACGUUAUCCUAUUCUCAUAGUACUCAAUUUUCACUUUCUUUGCAUUUCAGGCUCAGUUUUCACAGAUGAGGCCAGUACCUGCGGUUGGUCCUAGGAUGCCAAUGUAUCCACCAGGUGGCCCACCAAUGGGUCAACAACUCUUCUAUGGCCAAGGACCUCCUGGCAUGAUUCCUCCUCAGGUAAAAGUCAAAGUUCUUUAGCUAAAAACAUGUGAAACCAAUCUUUAUAACUCUUCUUCUCCAUUGAACAGCCUGGAUACGGGUAUCAACAACAGCUUGUACCGGGCAUGAGACCUGGCGGCUCACCGAUGUCAAACUUCUUCAUGCCUAUGAUGCAACAAGGCCAGCAACAACAGCAGCAGCAACGACCUGGUGGUGGUGGUAGAAGAGGAGGAGCUCUUCCACAACAACCUUCCCCUAUGAUGCAGCCACAGCAGGUUAAGUAUCUUCUGCAGCAAUUAUUGUCUCUUUGAGAAUCAUUUGCGUUCUUAUAUUUUGCUGUAUUCUCCAGAUGCAUCCAAGGGGUAGAAUGUAUAGGUAUCCACAGAGAGAUGUAAACCCAAUGCCUGGUCUUACUCCAAACAUGCUGUCUGUACCGUAUGAUGUGUCUGGUGGUGGUGCUCAUCUUCGUGAUUCACCUGCUGCUUCUCAGCCUGUUCCUAUUGGAGCUUUGGCUACAUCACUCGCUAAUGCGGCUCCUGAGCAUCAGAGAACGGUAAUAUUAAAAUGUUGUUUUUUUUGUCACUGAGACAAUUUAUUGUUUACUGAAAAAGUGUUGUUUUUUCUUCCUCACAGAUGCUUGGUGAGAAUCUGUACCCACUAGUGGAGCAGCUUGAGCCAGAAUCAGCAGCUAAAGUCACGGGAAUGCUUCUUGAAAUGGACCAAACCGAAGUACUUCACUUGCUGGAAUCUCCUGAUGCACUUAAAGCUAAAGUUGCAGAGGCAAUGGAUGUGCUGAGGAGUGUAGCUCAGCAGCAGCAAGCUGGUGGUGCAGCUGAUCAGUUAGCGUCUCUGUCUCUUGGAGACAACAUCGUACCUUGAGUUAUAAGUGCUUUGUUUGUCCUUGUGGAGAAUCAGAUACAAAGAGUGGUUCUUGAAAGUUUUGGAUUACAAUGUGUUUUUUUUUGUUUUGGAUUUCAGCUAAUCUUUAAUACUUUGG
Molecule: long non-coding RNA, 2281 nt
Filed under: Brassica napus (rape)
Lineage: Eukaryota; Viridiplantae; Streptophyta; Magnoliopsida; Brassicales; Brassicaceae
Description: long non-coding RNA (BNAP_LNC004786)
Source: RNAcentral